This 253-nucleotide ribosomal RNA is filed under the name uncultured bacterium. RNAcentral describes it as "partial 16S ribosomal RNA". It matches the Rfam family "Bacterial small subunit ribosomal RNA", at positions 524 to 776 of the family's 1533-position model. The record is from RNAcentral.
UACGGGGGGGGCAAGCGUUGUUCGGAAUUACUGGGCGUAAAGGGUUUGUAGGUGGCCCGCUAAGUCACACGUGAAAUCCCUCAGCUUAACUGGGGAACUGCGUGUGAGACUGGCAGGCUCGAGGGCAGGAGAGGAACGCGGAAUUCCAGGUGUAGCGGUGAAAUGCGUAGAUAUGCCAUAGAACACCAAUUGCGAAGGCAGCUGGCUAGACCUGGAUUGACGCUGAGGCACGAAAGCGUGGGGAGCGAACAGG